UCCUGAUGAUGAAGAUUUAGGACCAUAAACCGUGGAGAUCAUGGAUGAUGAUCAGUCGUUUCUCAAUGGUAUUUUUGAAGUCCAAAGUUUGCCUUUUUUUCCCUGGACUCUUACUCUGAAAGGAUUUGGAUCAGAGAGCGUGGCUGUAGAGGGGAAGGAGGAUGGCUCACACUAAGAAAUCAAAGCUGAGCGGUCCACACUUGUGGAUAAUUUAAUCACUGCUAAUGAGGCUCUUUACCCUCAUGUGUCCCACUGAGUGAGACUCUGUUUGUGGUGGAGACCCACGGCUGAUUAUUUAUGAGACGAGUGGAGCUCAGAGAGGGACUUCAGCGUACAGGACUCACUGUCUGCAGGCUCACCUUCAUGGAUGCACUCAGGUUUUAAGUUAAUGUCUAAAACAUACGUACUGAUUCACUACAAACUGUAACCGUCUGUCUUCUCUCUAAUAAUAUUUUCACUCUAACAGCUAAGUCAUACACAAACUCAGUCUGGACAGUUUUCAUGGAUCCACAAACGAACUGAAGUGUUUCUGUCCCAGUUUAAUUUUUUAAACAUGGAGCCCUAUGGGGACUGACUCAAUUCUGUCGGCGGCCCCAAGUGGAUACAAGAGGAACUGCAGGUCUGUCACUUCAACUUUAGUUUUUAACAGCAGAGCUUCUAUGUCACUAUUACAGUGAUUGAGCUGGAACUGAUGAAUAAACAGAUAAAUAAACCAACAAACAAACGAAGAGCAAACAAAUGACGUGACUAACAACCCAAGGAACUAACUAACUUACUAACUAACUAACUAACUAACUUAUUAACCAACUAACUAAAUAACUAACUAACUAACUGACUGACUGACUAGCUAACUAACUGACUAACUCACUAAGUAGCUGCUCACACUUUUUUUACUGUAGGAAGCUCGACUCAAGAUGUUAGUUAGCCAAGAUGUUAGUUAGCCAGACUCACUCUGUUUAAUUUAUAUCAACAGAGUGAGUCCAAGGUUGAUUGGAGCAGCGAGAAGGUCAAAGGUCUUGUUUAUUUUGGACUAAUGAGCAUAUUUGAAAAAAGUCAGAUGAGAUUAGAUUAGAUUAGAUUAGAUCAGAUUAGAUCAGAUUAGAUUAGAUCAGAUCAGAUUAGAUUAGUCGAGGUUAGAUUAAAUGAGUUUAGAUAAGAUUAGAUUGCAUUAGAUUAUGUAAGAUUACAUUAGACUAGAUUAGUUGGGGUUAGAUUAGAUUUAAUGAGAUGAGACUAGAUUAGAGUACAUUAGAUUAAUUCAAACCUAAAUUAAAUUAGAUUAGAUGAGGUUAGGUUAGAUUAGAUAAGAUUGGAUAUGAUUAAAUUAGAUUAGAUCAUAUCAGGUUAGAUUAGAUCACAUUAGAUUAAAUUAGAUUAGAUUAUUGUAGGAGAUGACCGAUUUCUGCUUUUCCUCCUUUGAUUCAUCCUCAAAGGAAUGCAGUGACUGCGGUCACUGAAAGGAGAUGGGGGGUGAAUUUCGACACCAAACCAUGGUCUUUUUAUAACCUCCUGUCUGUGGGAACUAACCAAGAGGUGAUCUUCCAAAAGACAGACAGUCAAUCUUUUGCAUAGCAAAAACAAAGUUGCUAAUUUCUAGCAGGACCCCCAGACUGGAUAAACACUCACCUGUCUGCUCUUAGCUGGAGACUCUCAAAUUUGACUCCUUAACCUUAAACCUUAAAAGUCUACUAUGCAAAGCGAAAGCCAUUUUUGUGUGUGACUGAGCGCCCUGAGAGUGGCAGCAAGUCACAGCAGCUCCUCACAGAGUUUACGUUUUUGCCUUUUUAUUGUUGUUUUUUGCACCUUAUUUGUAUUUCUUUUUUAUUAGCAGGGUUGUGUUUUGCAUACUUCAACCAUGGAUGUGCAUUUCAUGACUCUAGCACUUUGUUUUCUUCUAAUUGUCAGAGUUUUUAAGUCCGCGUCUGGGGACCCGUUCAGUGGCUCUAUUGUUUACAGCCGUGAACAGCUGUUGGCGCUGCGCCAAGCCCGGCCACCUUCGUGGGAGAAACCCGACAUCCCUGCCAAGCUCCGCAGGAGAAGAAGAGGAUGCAGAGCUGGAGUUCAGCAUUGGGCAAAGCGGAGACGUUUUAAGCUUUUUCCUUUUUCUAAAUUUUUUCUUAAUUAUUACAUUUAUUUAAGUUCUUAAUUUUUAUAACUGCAUUUUUGCACUAUCUUUGUCUGUGAUGCUGCUGUGACAAAAAAAUUUCCCCCAUGGGGGAUCAAUAAAGGAAUCUUCUAUUCUAUUCUAUAUUGUAUUUAUCAACAACAUCCAGAAAGUUCAAAAGCCAGCGUCUGUGAUGGUAUGCGGGUGCAUUAGUGCCCAAGGCAUGGGUAACUUACACAUCUGUGAAGGCAACAUUAAUGCUGAAAGGUACAUACAGGUUUUGGAGCAACAUAUGCUGCCAUUCAAGCAAUGUCUUUUUCAUGGACGCCCUUCCUGCUUAUUUCUGCGAGACAAUGCUAAGCCACAUUCUGCACGUGUUACAACAGCGUGGCUUUGUAGUUAAAAAGUGCGGGUACUUGACUGGCCUGACUACAGUCCAGACCUGUCUCCCUUUGAAAAUGUGCGGUGCAUUACGAAGUGUAAAAUACAACAACGGAGACCCUGACCUGUUGAACAACUGAAGCUAUAUAUCAAGCAAGAAUGGGAAAGAAUUCCACCUUCAAAGCUUCAAUAAUUAGUCUCCUCAGUUCCCAAACAUUUAUUGAGUGUUGUUAAAAGGAAAGGUGAUGUAACACAGUAAUAAACAUGUCCCUGUCCCAACUACUUUGGCACUUGUUGCAGCCAUGAAAUUCUGAGUUAAUUAUUAUUUGAAAAAAAAAUAAAGUUUAUGAGUUUGAACAUUGAAUAUCUUGUCUUUGUAGUGUAUUCAAUUGAAUAUUGUGGUGAGACGCCUCCUCCUUCUGUUUUAUUUUGGCUGGACUUCCUGUGUUUCUGUGUUUGCCUGGUCUGGCUUUACUCUCUUCCAGAGCUUCCUCCCCUCCCCCGGUCACUGAAGCUGAGUGAGACUACACACCUGCUCUUCAUCUGCAAUCAAGGCACUUUAAGAAGCCAGCAGCCCUCAGUCUCAGCGCCUGAGUAUUGUCUUCACUUCCAAGUGGUAUAGACGCGUCUCCUGGCCUCCUUCCUUUGAAAUUAGUAUUCGUAAUUCUGCUCCUGAUUCAUUGUAUGUUCACUCACUUCCCUCUCCUCUGUUUUUCCUGCAGUGUCUCCAGCCCACACGACAACCAGCCUACCGGACUUCCUCUUUUUUGCCUUUAAACCUGAGUUUGGACAUUAAAAUUACACCUUAAGUUGAUCUCUGUCUCUGUGUCUGCUUCUGGGUCCUCACAACUCACCAGUCAUGCCACAGAAUAUAGGUUGAAAAAGAUUUGCAAAUCAUUGUAUUCUGUUUUUAUUCACGUUUAUCACAAUUUCCCAACUUCAGUGGAAUUGGGUUUUGUAGAUCUAACUCGCUUAAUAAUCCCGCAUGUUAAAAUCAAUUCACUUGCCAGCCUGAUCAGCCCCCGCUGUGAACAAUGGGUGCACGAGCUCCCCCUCCUUUGGUUCAUGCCCCACAUGAAUGGGUUAAAAGGGCUGAGCUGACACUACCCACUCUCUUAUCAUCUCUUAUCAUCUUUGCUCUUAUCGUCUUUUUGUCUCGUGUGUAUUUCCCCGUUGUUGGCAUUUUUGUCUCCGUCCAUGGUCUUGUAACUUUUCCCCAUGUUUUUAUUCGCCUUAAGUUUUCAGACUUUUCCAGAAACUUGAUGAAACCAUACCCAAGUUCCUUCAGGGCAUCAGUAAUUAGCUGCACACAUAGAGUUCCUAAGUCUAGGUCUUUUAUUUUGUUUAGUUUGCUAUAGUGACUCCUGAAAAUAAUAUCGGCUGGUCAGUGAAAUUAUUUCCUUAAGUUAUUGGCGUGAAUUAAUCUGCAGAAAAGCUAAUCCUGAACACCCAGAGGACCGACCUGCAUCAUCUGCCGAGCUGCGUUUGCCACAAGGUUCCGGAAGGAGAGCACUGUGGGACCCACGGGACGCAUUUGGCGUGCAUUUGUGUGUGACGACAGAUUCAUCGUUCGGCCAGCUGCUAGCCACCCCGCAAAGACCACCUGUAGCCUGGGCCUUCGGUGAUCCGCUCCAAGAUUGCCACUGAGAACCAUCAUCAAUAAGUAGGCAAACCCUCGACACUGAAGAACCGGUGAUGCUGUCAAGCGUUCAGAGCUUAUAAUUUUGAUUAUAGUUUAGUUUCUCCAAAUUCCUCUUCCAAAUUUAUCCUUGUUAACCCCGUUAACGUAGGUUAAAAUUUUCCUUAUCCACUCACUAUCAUUAACCUCCAGGCUUAGCUCAAUUAAAACCAUUCCUUAAUUUAUUCAUUAGAUGUUUGUUUAUUUUCUCAUUAUUUGAUCAUUAUUUAUUGAAUUUCUGUUAUCACCUAGCAUUUGUCAAUAAAUUGUCCAUUUAAUUUUAAGUUGUCGUCUCUUAGUGGUCCUUCAGAAGUGAAGUCCCUGAAAUGAGAUAGAUUAGAUUAGAUUAGAUCAGAUUAGACUAAAUUAGAUUUGAUCAAAUCAGGUUAGUUUAGAUUAGAUUAGAUUAGAUUAGUUUAGAUGAUAUUAGACUAGAUUAGAUUAGAAUAGUUUAGAUGAUAUUAGACUAGAUUAGAAUAGAUUAGAUCUGAUUAAAUUAGAUUAGACUAGAUUAGAUAAAAUUAGAUUAGAUUAGAUUAGAUCACAUACACCUGUUUAAAACCCCUAUUUCUAAACUACUACUAAAUUGACAAACUUUAGUCGUCAGUGAGUGAAACUUGUUCAGUCAUGAACAGCAGCUCCUCCUCCAGGUCAACAUACAAACACACACUGAGGGUCUGGGAUUAUAAAUCUUUGAUCACAGAUUUUCAUCAGGGUAAAAAUCUCUGUUGUUUCUGAGUCUCUGUAUUCACGCCGCGUGUUGCUCUGCAGACUAAUUGGUCAUGACUGCGGAGAUAAAUAACUUACCCAGCAUGCACUGCUGUCAGAACCAAAACAACACUGACAGGGAGUCCGACAGGAAACAUCAAACGUCUGAAUAAACAGAUGUAUGGAGGAAACAGACACGCUACUGAGCAUGCUCAGUGGAGUCACACAGGGUCAGACAGUUUACUGUUAAUGCUUUAACUGAAAGACACGUCAGGAGUCCUGAACCUCUUCUUUAUCUACCUUCACACAGACACACUCACACACUCACACACACACACACACACACACACAAACACACACACACACACACACACACACACACACACACACACACACACACACACACUCAUUGCACUCUUCACCCCGAGGCUGUAAUCAGGGAAAUGUUCUAGCAAAUUUGUUGUGCAAUAGCAACCCCGAAGGAGUCUGAGUAAUGAUGCACUACAACAAACACACUCACACUAUAACACACACACACACAGCAUCAUUGCGUGUGUGUUUGCAUUAUUGUUCACUUUGAUGCAACUAGAUUUUAAACUCAAAGAGCCAGGAGCAGGAGCAGCAGCAGCAGACAGACUAAAGAGCACACACUCCUGCUGUGUAUUUAACUCUGCAGAUGCUCACAGGCAGACAUGAAAAAAAUAUAAAACUCAUGUUUGUUAAAAGAAUCAGACAAAGUUGGAUCAAUCUGAAGACCUGAGAAAACAUCUCCACCACCACAGAUCCUCAGUGAAGGAAAGAACCGGUCAUGUCACAUCAUCCUGGUCUUCCUCACUUCUUCUGGUUCUGUUUGGAUCUCUGAUAACUAAAAACAGGCAUCAUGGAGCUUCAGAGGUGAGAGCUGUCAGAGGAGGAUCAUCUCCACAUGUCACAUUUACUGUCAGAUCUAACCCUGAAUUUCCACUGCAUCUGAAACAGCUCCGAUCCAGAACACCGUCCGACAAUUCCUACCAGAUCCAUUGGUGAGGCGAAUUUCGUGGCGGAUUAUGGACAGCGGAAAUCCUGAGAACUCACAAGAACCCGCGGAUUCACGUUCAAUCGUAUGAUAACAAGCUGUCUCUAUAAAGACAGACACAUAGACAUAUAAGCAGUAGAUUGUGUCCUUCCAGUGGAGGAAAUCUACUUCUAGACUUCUAGAAUCAGCAUCUCCUCAUCCAUGGUGUCAUUGGGGUGAAAUGACAACUAAAAACCUUUCACUUGUUUGUCUCCGCCCGUUUGCAUGGUGUGAAAUACGAUCCUCCUGAAACACGGAGUGUUUUAUUUUGAAAAGAAGCUGGAAGUUUUAUUUUGUGUGCAAGCCGGUGGAAAUUGACACAUUAACUUAUAGAUACGAUCUUUUCAGAGCCAUUCAGGAUGCGGUUGAAAUUCGGGGGUAAGAGAACGUUGGCUCACAGUUUUCUCACCUAAACCAGCAGGUGACCAUCAGGUGAGCUUGGCUCUCUUCUCGUUCACUCAGAAGGUCCUCUGCUUCUUGAAGGUGUGGUCCACAUGUGUCUGCAGUAAUGUGGAUGUGUUUUUGAUGAACUCAUCUGCAGAUGGGGGAGCACAUUUGUAGGAAGUUGACCUUCUGAUGGGGGUGGCACAGUGGUGUAGUGGUUAGCACUGUCGCCUCACAGCAAGAAGGUCCUGAGUUCGAAUCCAGCUCAGGGCGUUUCUAUGUGGAGUUUGCUUGUUCUCCCUGUGUCUGUGUGGGUUUACUCCGGUUUACUCCCACAUCCCAAAAACAUACUUAAGUGGGGUCAGGUUAACUGGCCACUUUCAAAUUGCCCAUAGGUGUGAGUGUGGAUGGUUGUUUGUCUCUAUAUGUCAGCCCUGCGAUGAACUGGCGACUUGUCCAAGGUGUCCACUGCCUUCGCCCUAAGAUGCUGGGAUAGGCUCUAGCCCCCCUGCGACCCCGGGAACAGAGAUAAGCGGUAGAAAAUGGAUGGAUGGAUGGACCCUCUGAUUGUAAGGUGAAGUGCUGUAAUGUUUCAAAUUCAAUCAAUCAAAUUUUAUUUAUAUAGCGCCAAUUCACAACAGUCGUCAUCUCAAGACGCUUUUCAAGGAACAAGAGCAGGUCAGGACCGCGCUCAUUGUUUGAUGAUCAAGAACCAACCUAAGAUGGGUUUUGGCCCAUCUCAACUAACAUGAGUAGCAGUGGCAAGGAAAAACUUCCUUUUAACAGGCAGAAACCUUGGGCAGGACCAGACUCAUGCUAGACAGCCACCAUGCCGCUGCUGGGUUGGGGUGGAAUGUAGAGAGAAGAGGGGAGAGGAGGAGAGGACAGGGGAAGGGAGAGAGACAGCAAGAUAGGGGAAAGGCGAGAGAGAAUUAGUACGGAGAGGGAGGGGGAGGGAGAGAGAGUAGGGAACGAGGGUGAGAGAGAGACAGGAGGCAGCAGGAACAACAGCAACAACGACAACAGCUCAUGUAAUGGUGAAACAAAAGACGUUCAGUUUACAGGUUUAGGAUAUGAGUGAUAAUGGACAAUGUUGAAUUAAUUGAGUGUGAUUACAGUUAGCAGGCUUAAUCGUAGUCAGUUCUAUUUUGUAUGUCAAUAAUGACAGUGAGGCUGAUGUUCAUGUCUGCAGUAACAGUAACAGCAACAGUCCAGAGGAAUCAGAGAGAACAAGGAGCUCAGGGGGGGGGGGGUCCACGGAGCCAAAGAGAUGGAGGAGCUCAGGGCCCAGGAUGGAUGCAGCUGGGGUCAGGCAGUUCCGCAGCAGACCGUUUGCAGCAUUAGUCCAGUGGCAGCUAAAAGACUCAGAGACACUCAGAGAGACAGAAAACUGGUCAGUGACUUAUAUGGGACAUAAAGAUCUAAAGAGGAGAUAGAGACAGACUCUAGCUCAGUGUGCCAGAUAGCCCCGGCAGUCUAGGCCUAUAGCAGCAUAACUAAGAGCUGGUUCAAAUCAGCCCUGACUAUAGGCUUUAUCAAAGAGGAACGUUUUAAGUCUACUCUUGAAAGUUGAGAGUGUGUCUGCCCCCCGAACCUCGAGCGGUAAAUGAUUCCAGAGGAGAGGUGCCUGGUAGCUGAAAGCUCUUCCUCCAACACUACUUUUAGAGACAUUUGGUACAACGAGCAGACCUGCAGACUGUGAGCGUAACGGUCUAGAUGGAAAGUACGGUAUAACUAGCUCGUCGAGAUAUGAUGGCGCCUGGCCAUUAAGCGCUUUAUAUGUCACAAGGAGGAUUUUAAACUCAAUUCUAUAUUUAAUAGGGAGCCAGUGAAGAGAGGCUAAAACAGGGGAGAUGUGCUCCCUUCUACUAGUUCUAGUCAAUACCCGAGCUGCUGCAUUUUGGACCAGCUGAAGAGUCCUUAAUGACUUACUAGAGCAGCCUGAUAGGAGAGAAUUACAGUAAUCCAGCCUAGAGGUAACAAAGGCAUGGACUAGUUUUUCUGCAUCGCUCUGAGACAAUAUGCGUCUAAUUUUUGAGAUAUUGCGCAGGUGGAAAAAGGCUGUCCUAGAAAUUUGUUGAAUGUGGGAGCUAAAAGAUAAAUCCUGAUCAAAUACAACUCCUAGAUUACGCACAGUGGGGUUGGAUGCCAGGCUGAUACCAUCAAAUGUAGCUAAAUUACUAGAGAACGCCUCUCUAAGGUGUUUAGGACCGAGGACCAGAACUUCAGUUUUGUCUGAGUUGAGCAUUAGAAAGUUAUUGGUCAUCCAGGAUUUUAUAUCUUUGAGGCAGGCUUCUAACCUGGCAACCUGGCCUGCUUCCUCUGGCUUUAUGGAUAGGUAUAGCUGGGUGUCAUCUGCAUAACAGUGGAAAUUAAUCGAAUACUUCCUCAUAAUUUUACCCAGCGGAAUCAUAUACAGGGUGAAGAGGAUUGGACCGAGCACUGACCCUUGCGGCACACCGUAGCAGACUUUGGUGUGUGCAGAGGAUUUAUUAUUUACAUUGACAAACUGGGAUCGAUCUGUUAGGUACGAUUUAAACCAGGAGAGAGCUGAUCCUGCUAUGCCUAUAGAUUGUUCUAGUCUCUGAAGCAGGAUGGAGUGGUCAAUUGUGUCAAAUGCUGCACUAAGAUCUAACAGGACUAGAACAGAGAGAAAACCAUUGUCUGAGGCUAUGAGUAGGUCAUUUGACACCUUUAGCAGAGCAGUCUCUGUGCUGUGAUGGGUUCUAAACCCAGACUGGAAAUCCUCUAAUAAACCAUUGUUAUGGAGAAAAUCACAGAGUUGAUUCGCAACAACUUUCUCUAGGAUUUUAGAAAUAAAAGGAAGGUUGGAUAUUGGUCUAUAGUUAGCUAGGGAGCUUGAGUCUAGAGUAGGUUUUUUAAGGAGAGGCUUAAUCAAUGCAGUCUUGAAAGACUGGGGAACAUAUCCUGUUAAUAAAGACGUGUUAAUCAUUUUGAGCAGGGACGUACUAAUCAAAGGAAGAGUUUCCUUCAGCAAUUUAGAUGGAAUUGGGUCUAAGAGACACGUCGAUGGUUUGGCUGCUAGCACCACUGACUUUAACUCAGGAAGGUCAAUAGGUACAAAAUUACUAAGGUGCACCAGAGGCCUUAGGGGCUCCUCAACAUUUUAAGGGUUAUCUGAGAGAGAGACCCUUGAUGGAGUCAAUAGGUUACUAAUUUUACCUCUUAUUUUUAAGAUUUUAUCAUUGAAGAAGCUCAGGAAGUCAUUGCUGCUAAGGGCUAAUGGGAUACAUGGUUCAGUGGUGCUCGGACAGUCUGUCAGCCUGGCUACAGUGCUGAAGAGAUAUCUGGGGUUAUUCUUAUUUUCCUCAAUAAGAGACGAGUAGUAGGUUGUCCGAGCACGUCGUAGGGCUUUCUUAUAUUUAUCGAGACAUUCCUGCCAGAGAAAACGAGCUUCAGCUGUUUUGGAGAAGCGCCAAAUCCUUUCACAUUUUCUUAAUAACUGUUUCAGCUCACGGGUUUCAGCAUUAUACCACGGGGCUAGCCUCUCGCGUGUAAUAGUUUUCUGUCGAAGAGGGGCAACUGAGUCUAGAACUGAUCGCAGUGUGCCUGAGGUAUCAUCAACAAACUGGUCGAGUUGCAAAGGACUGAUGUUUAAAUAUGAGCUAUCAGUAUAGUUUUUCUCAACUACAGAAUUUAGAGCAGACGGAAUUACCUCCUUGAACUUAGUAACAGCAUUUUCAGACAACCUUCUAGUUAGCACGAAUUUGUUGUGAGGAGAGUAACCUGAAAGCACAAAUUCAAAAGUUACUAGAAAGUGAUCAGAUAAUAGAGGAUUUAAUGAGCUGACUAACAGGGCAUCAGUUUCGAGGCCAUAAGCCAGGACGAGAUCGAGAGUGUGGUUAAAGCAGUGCGUAGGUCUAUGUACACACUGUGUAAACCCAAUUGAAUCUAGCAAGGACCGAAAAGAAAUGCUAAGGCUAUCAUUUUCCACAUCUAUGUGAAUAUUAAAGUCACCGACGACGAUGACUUUAUCUGCGAGAAGGACUAAUUCGGAUAGGAACUCUGAGAACUCUGACAAAAACUCAGAGUAUGGGCUCGGAGGGCGGUAAACUAUAGCAAAAUACCAGUGGUCUCAUGGACUUUGAGGCUGGGUGCGGGAGACUGAGAACGAGACUUUCAAAAGAGUUAUAAUCUAGUUUUGGUCUUGGGUUAAUUCUAAGACUGGAAUUGUAGAUAGCUGCAACUCCACCACCUCGGCCAGAGUCUCGAGGAAUGUGAAAGUUUAGGUGGCUAGGAGGAGUGGAUUCAUUUAAACUUACAUAUUCAUCCUUACGCAGCCAUGUUUCGGUUAGGGAGAGUAAAUCAAUGCGAUGAUCAGAGAUUAGUUCAUUUAUGAACACAGAUUUUGAAUUUAGAGACCUUAUAUUCAGUAGGCCACAUUUUAUCUUACUAGUACUUGGUUCAGCUAUGUUAACAGUUUUAAUUCUAGUAAGGUUCUUGUUAUUUACUCCUUUUUUAAUUGAUCGGUUAGAAUUUGAGAGCCGAGUACGAGGGACAGACACAGUCUCUAUAUUAAAGUGACAGUAGCUAGGAGGCUGCUCUAACAAAAGUACAGAGGAACGUGUAGAGCUGUGGCUAUGCUCCCUGAUUUCUAUGUCAAGCUGAGAGAAGCUUGGAAGCUGCUCUGAAGGGAGUACAGAGGGACGUUUUACACUGUGGCUCUGCUCCCUGAUUUCUAUGUCAAGCUGAGAGAAGCUUGGAAGCUGCUCUGAAGGGAGUACAGAGGGACGUUUUACACUGUGGCUCUGCUCCCUGAUUUCUAUGUCAAGCUGAGAGUAGCUUAGAAGCUGCUCUGAAGGGAGUACAGAGGGGCGUUUUACACUGCGGCUCUGCUCCCUGAUUUCUAAGUCAAGCUGAUUGUAGCUUGGAAGCUGCUCUGAAG
This 11215-nucleotide long non-coding RNA is filed under the name Xyrichtys novacula (pearly razorfish). The record is from RNAcentral. Lineage: Eukaryota; Metazoa; Chordata; Actinopteri; Labriformes; Labridae.